This 291-nucleotide unclassified non-coding RNA is filed under the name uncultured fungus. RNAcentral's name for it is "partial contains 5.8S rRNA, ITS2 and 28S rRNA". It matches the Rfam family "Eukaryotic large subunit ribosomal RNA", at positions 668 to 961 of the family's 3401-position model. Lineage: Eukaryota; Fungi. The record is from RNAcentral.
AAGGAGUCUAACAUCUAUGCGAGCGUUUGGGUGUCAAACCCAUACGCGUAAUGAAAGUGAACGGAGGUGAGAACCCUUAAGGGUGCAUCAUCGACCGAUCCUGAUGUCUUCGGAUGGAUUUGAGUAAGAGCAUAGCUGUUGGGACCCGAAAGAUGGUGAACUAUGCGUGAAUAAGGUGAAGCCAGAGGAAACUCUGGUGGAGGCUCGCAGCGGUUCUGACGUGCAAAUCGAUCGUCAAAUUUGCGUAUAGGGGCGAAAGACUAAUCGAACCAUCUAGUAGCUGGUUCCUGC